This 241-nucleotide long non-coding RNA is filed under the name Elaeis guineensis (African oil palm). RNAcentral describes it as "long non-coding RNA (EGUI_LNC031530)". The record is from RNAcentral. Lineage: Eukaryota; Viridiplantae; Streptophyta; Magnoliopsida; Arecales; Arecaceae.
AGCUUGCGAUACUUCCCACAUUUAUUGGGAACAAAAUCAAGCUACUAACUAGUUAUCUAAACAAGCUGUUUUAAGUGACUACUCCUCCUCUUUGGGGGAUUCGUUAUCUUUUCACUUUGCAUAUAUUCUGCAACACGAUCAGAUGCAAAUGCCUCUUCAUGGUCUCUAUGUAUUGCCAUACCAUUAUAGAUUUUCACCCUUUCAGCUACCUUGCUCCUAUUGGUGCAAUUGAAGGUGGUAC